GAGAGAACUGAUGGUAAUCUGGAAGCAAAUCUAAGGAGUGUCUCCUUUUCCUGAGAAGCUGGAUGUUACCGGCAAUUCCUCAUGGUUAUACCGUGCUUCCUCUCUUGCACAUGAUCGAGAUCUUCAAAGUGAGCAUCUUUCAAAGGAGCGACAAGCAAAAUACAGCUGCAGGAGCAGUAACUCCCUGUUCAGCAGCUUUGCCUGCUGUCACUGUUGACUGCUGGAGGUGGUGAUCCAUGUCAGUCACUAAAACGACACCUUGGCAAGACUGCAAUCUGUUCCCAGAGUUUCUGUGUAUGGCAACACUUUUAGAUAAUGAGGUUUUCAUAUAUUCUCAGCAUCUCACACAGUGCCUGGAACAUAGUCCCCCAAGAGCCUCACAAAACCCAGGGCAGCCAGUCUCAGGUGAACCAGGGUGGUGGUCCAUGGUUCCUGACUCUUGCCUAAACUUCUUUCUGGAUUCUUAUUGUCUACAAUCUU
Molecule: long non-coding RNA, 480 nt
Organism: Mustela erminea (ermine)
Lineage: Eukaryota; Metazoa; Chordata; Mammalia; Carnivora; Mustelidae
Exons: 3
Source: RefSeq, a predicted model, not a curated record